This 485-nucleotide ribosomal RNA is filed under the name uncultured bacterium. RNAcentral describes it as "bacterial SSU rRNA". It matches the Rfam family "Bacterial small subunit ribosomal RNA", at positions 29 to 507 of the family's 1533-position model. The record is from RNAcentral.
AUGAACGCUAGCGGCAGGGCUUAAUACAUGCAAGUCGUGGGGCAGCAUGAGUAGCAAUACUUGAUGGCGACCGGCAAACGGGUGAGGAACACGUACACAACCUUCCUUCAAGCGGGGAAUAGCCCAGAGAAAUUUGGAUUAAUACCCCAUAAUAUAUUUGAUAAGGCAUCUUAUUAAUAUUAAAGCUUCGGCACUUGAUGAUGGGUGUGCGGCUGAUUAGAUAGUUGGCGGGGUAACGGCCCACCAAGUCUACGAUCAGUAGCUGAUGUGAGAGCAUGAUCAGCCACACGGGCACUGAGACACGGGCCCGACUCCUACGGGAGGCAGCAGUAAGGAAUAUUGGACAAUGGACGAAAGUCUGAUCCAGCCAUGCCGCGUGAAGGAUUAAGGUCCUCUGGAUUGUAAACUUCUUUUAUAUGGGACGAAAAAAGGGCAUUCUUGUUCACUUGACGGUACCAUAUGAAUAAGCACCGGCUAACUCCGUG